RNAcentral lists this ribosomal RNA (523 nucleotides) under uncultured bacterium. RNAcentral describes it as "bacterial SSU rRNA". It matches the Rfam family "Bacterial small subunit ribosomal RNA", at positions 28 to 552 of the family's 1533-position model. The record is from RNAcentral.
AACGAACGCUGAUGGCGUGCCUCAUACAUGCAAGUCGAGCGCGCAGCAAUGCGAGCGGCGAACGGGUGAGUAACACGUGAACAAUCUGCCUUGAGGUGGGGGAUAACCAUUCCAACGGAUGGCUAAUACCGCAUAGGGUUCGGGGAGGGCAUCCUUCCCUUACGAAAGCAGCGAUGCGCCUUGAGAUGAGUUCGCGUCCCAUUAGCUAGUUGGCGGGGUAACGGCCCACCAAGGCGACGAUGGGUAGCCGGCCUGAGAGGGUGUCCGGCCACAUUGGGACUGAGAUACGGCCCAGACUCCUACGGGAGGCAGCAGUAGGGAAUUUUUCGCGCAAUGGGGGGAAACCCUGACGCAGCAACGCCAUGUGUGGGAUGAAGCAUUUCGGUGUGUAAAACCACUGUCGGCAGGGAAAUAAAAGCCCGCGCGUGCGCGGGGGUUGAAUGUACCUGCAGAGGAAGCCCCGGCUAACUUCGUGCCAGCAGCCGCGGUAAUACGAGGGGGGCCAAAGGUGUUGUUCGGAAUC